CCUGAGAAACCCAAAAGAUCGAAUGGGGAGAUUCAUCGUCAGCUCAUUAUGUAUAUUUUAAAGUUACGUUGCGGGUUACUACUUGAAGUAUUGCCUGCACGUUCUUUUAUAUUUAGUUGCAAAAUGUUGUCGGCUUGCACUUCUUCCCUAGUAGGACGUCGCGACCCGUUGUGUGUCGGUUUACGGCCCAAGUGAUAGUCUUUAAUGUAAUUUAAAAAUCAUUGAAGAUCCUUGGUGUUUUCUAACCGGCUACACGGCGGUACUCGUACGGUAUUUAGCCGCUAAUUUUUAUUAGCGUCCAUGUCCGUCACAAGCAAGAUCAAUUUACUAAUAGUACGGACCUAGUGCCGUCGUUGGUAUUGUUCAGUUGUUGGUUGUACGUGAUUCUGGGACUGGUUAAAAAUUUUAAUUACCGGUCGGCGAUUCUACUGCUUUGGGUACUUUCAGGACCCGUCUUGAAACACGGACCAAGGAGUCUAACAUGUGCGCAAGUCAUUGGGAUUUUUUUAAAAUUAAACCUAAAGGCAUAAUGAAAGUAAAGAUUGACCUUGCGUUAAUCGAGGGAGGAUGAGUUAUGUUAUGAUAUAGCUCCGCACUCCCGGGGCGUCUCAUUCUUAUUACAAGAAGAGGCGCACCUAG
RNAcentral lists this ribosomal RNA (639 nucleotides) under Heterogamus sp. BCLDQ00176. RNAcentral describes it as "LSU rRNA". It matches the Rfam family "Eukaryotic large subunit ribosomal RNA", at positions 386 to 798 of the family's 3401-position model. Lineage: Eukaryota; Metazoa; Arthropoda; Insecta; Hymenoptera; Braconidae. The record is from RNAcentral.